AGAGUUUGAUCCUGGCUCAGGACGAACGCUGGCGGCGUGCCUAAUACAUGCAAGUCGAGCGGACAGAAGGGAGCUUGCUCCCGGAUGUUAGCGGCGGACGGGGAGUAACACGUGGGUAACCUGCCUGUAAGACUGGGAUAACUCCGGGAAACCGGAGCUAAUACCGGAUAGUUCCUUGAACCGCAUGGUUCAAGGAUGAAAGACGGUUUCGGCUGUCACUUACAGAUGGACCCGCGGCGCAUUAGCUAGUUGGUGAGGUAACGGCUCACCAAGGCGACGAUGCGUAGCCGACCUGAGAGGGUGAUCGGCCACACUGGGACUGAGGCACGGCCCAGACUCCUACGGGAGGCAGCAGUAGGGAAUCUUCCGCAAUGGACGAAAGUCUGACGGAGCAACGCCGCGUGAGUGAUGAAGGUUUUCGGAUCGUAAAGCUCUGUUGUUAGGGAAGAACAAGUGCAAGAGUAACUGCUUGCACCUUGACGGUACCUAACCAGAAAGCCACGGCUAACUACGUGCCAGCAGCGCGUAAUACGUAGGUGGCAAGCGUUGUCCGGAAUUAUUGGGCGUAAAGGGCUCGCAGGCGGUUUCUUAAGUCUGAUGUGAAAGCCCCCGGCUCAACCGGGGAGGGUCAUUGGAAACUGGGAAACUUGAGUGCAGAAGAGGAGAGUGGAAUUCCACGUGUAGCGGUGAAAUGCGUAGAGAUGUGGAGGAACACCAGUGGCGAAGGCGACUCUCUGGUCUGUAACUGACGCUGAGGAGCGAAAGCGUGGGGAGCGAACAGGAUUAGAUACCCUGGUAGUCCACGCCGUAAACGAUGAGUGCUAAGUGUUAGGGGGUUUCCGCCCCUUAGUGCUGCAGCUAACGCAUUAAGCACUCCGCCUGGGGAGUACGGUCGCAAGACUGAAACUCAAAGGAAUUGACGGGGGCCCACACAAGCGGUGGAGCAUGUGGUUUAAUUCGAAGCAACGCGAAGAACCUUACCAGGUCUUGACAUCCUCUGACAACCCUAGAGAUAGGGCUUUCCCUUCGGGGACAGAGUGACAGGUGGUGCAUGGUUGUCGUCAGCUCCUGUCGUGAGAUGUUGGGUUAAGUCCCGCAACGAGCGCAACCCUUGAUCUUAGUUGCCAGCAUUCAGUUGGGCACUCUAAGGUGACUGCCGGUGACAAACCGGAGGAAGGUGGGGAUGACGUCAAAUCAUCAUGCCCCUUAUGACCUGGGCUACACACGUGCUACAAUGGACAGAACAAAGGGCUGCGAGACCGCAAGGUUUAGCCAAUCCCACAAAUCUGUUCUCAGUUCGGAUCGCAGUCUGCAACUCGACUGCGUGAAGCUGGAAUCGCUAGUAAUCGCGGAUCAGCAUGCCGCGGUGAAUACGUUCCCGGGCCUUGUACACACCGCCCGUCACACCACGAGAGUUUGCAACACCCGAAGUCGGUGAGGUAACCUUUAUGGAGCCAGCCGCCGAAGGUGGGGCAGAUGAUUGGGGUGAAGUCCUAACAAGGUAA
RNAcentral lists this ribosomal RNA (1505 nucleotides) under Bacillus pumilus. RNAcentral describes it as "bacterial SSU rRNA". It matches the Rfam family "Bacterial small subunit ribosomal RNA". The record is from RNAcentral. Lineage: Bacteria; Bacillati; Bacillota; Bacilli; Caryophanales; Bacillaceae.